This 301-nucleotide ribosomal RNA is filed under the name uncultured bacterium. RNAcentral's name for it is "partial 16S ribosomal RNA". It matches the Rfam family "Bacterial small subunit ribosomal RNA", at positions 509 to 809 of the family's 1533-position model. The record is from RNAcentral.
CAGUAGCCACGGUAAUACGAAGGGGGCUAGCGUUGUUCGGAAUUACUGGGCGUAAAGCGCACGUAGGCGGAUUUUUAAGUCAGGGGUGAAAUCCCGAGGCUCAACCUCGGAACUGCCUUUGAUACUGGAGAUCUUGAGUUCGGAAGAGGUUGGUGGAACAGCUAGUGUAGAGGUGAAAUUCGUAGAUAUUAGCUAGAACACCAGUGGCGAAGGCGGCCAACUGGCCCGAUACUGACGCUGAGGUGCGAAAGCGUGGGGAGCAAACAGGAUUAGAUACCCGCGUAGUCCCUGUCUCUUAUAA